Molecule: unclassified non-coding RNA, 202 nt
Filed under: Moritella viscosa
Lineage: Bacteria; Pseudomonadati; Pseudomonadota; Gammaproteobacteria; Alteromonadales; Moritellaceae
Description: putative sRNA
Source: RNAcentral
ACAUGAGAUAAUCAUAAUACGCAUAAAAUCAAAUACAUUAUUUACUUAGAAUGAAUAAUGUAUAAUUCUGAGGCUAACCAUACGUAGCGUCAGAAACAUCUAAUAAAAAGUUCGACCUUAGCGGCUGGUAAAUUUACAACUUUAAUUAUCAUCUUAGCUUAUUGUUCCCCGUCACCUGCGCUUAAGCAGCUAUAACAGGGGA